UGGUGCAUGGUUGUCGUCAGCUCGUGUCGUGAGAUGUGGUUAAGUCCCGCAACGAGCGCAACCCCUAUUGUUAGUUGCCAUCAUUCAGUUGGGCACUCUAGCGAGACUGCCGGUAAUAAACCGGAGGAAGGUGGGGAUGACGUCAAAUCAUCAUGCCCCUUAUGACCUGGGCUACACACGUGCUACAAUGGUUGGUACAACGAGUUGCGAGUCGGUGACGGCGAGCUAAUCUCUUAAAGCCAAUCUCAGUUCGGAUUGUAGGCUGCAACUCGCCUACAUGAAGUCGGAAUCGCUAGUAAUCGCGGAUCAGCACGCCGCGGUGAAUACGUUCCCGGGCCUU
RNAcentral lists this ribosomal RNA (340 nucleotides) under uncultured Streptococcus sp. RNAcentral's name for it is "bacterial SSU rRNA". It matches the Rfam family "Bacterial small subunit ribosomal RNA", at positions 1039 to 1382 of the family's 1533-position model. Lineage: Bacteria; Bacillati; Bacillota; Bacilli; Lactobacillales; Streptococcaceae. The record is from RNAcentral.